RNAcentral lists this ribosomal RNA (477 nucleotides) under uncultured organism. RNAcentral describes it as "partial 16S ribosomal RNA". It matches the Rfam family "Bacterial small subunit ribosomal RNA", at positions 331 to 799 of the family's 1533-position model. The record is from RNAcentral.
GUACACUCCUGCGGGAGGCAGCAGUGGGGAAUAUUGCACAAUGGGCGCAAGCCUGAUGCAGCCAUGCCGCGUGUAUGAAGAAGGCCUUCGGGUUGUAAAGUACUUUCAGCGGGGAGGAAGGCGAUAAGGUUAAUAACCUUGUCGAUUGACGUUACCCGCAGAAGAAGCACCGGCUAACUCCGUGCCAGCAGCCGCGGUAAUACGGAGGGUGCAAGCGUUAAUCGGAAUUACUGGGCGUAAAGCGCACGCAGGCGGUCUGUCAAGUCGGAUGUGAAAUCCCCGGGCUCAACCUGGGAACUGCAUUCGAAACUGGCAGGCUAGAGUCUUGUAGAGGGGGGUAGAAUUCCAGGUGUAGCGGUGAAAUGCGUAGAGAUCUGGAGGAAUACCGGUGGCGAAGGCGGCCCCCUGGACAAAGACUGACGCUCAGGUGCGAAAGCGUGGGGAGCAAACAGGAUUAGAAACCCCGGUAGUCCCAUG